GUGCUUGCACUAGUGGAUUAGUGGCGCACGGGUGAGUAAAGUAUAGCUAACCUGCCCCUUGGAGGGGGACAACAGUUGGAAACGACUGCUAAUACCCCAUACUCCUUUUAUACACAAGUAUAAUUGGGAAAUGUUAUUUCGCCAAGGGAUGGGGCUAUAUCGUAUCAGCUAGUUGGUAAGGUAACGGCUUACCAAGGCUAUGACGCGUAGCUGGUCUGAGAGGAUGGUCAGCCACACUGGAACUGAGACACGGUCCAGACUCCUACGGGAGGCAGCAGUGAGGAAUAUUGCACAAUGGGGGGAACCCUGAUGCAGCAACGCCGCGUGGAGGAUGAAGCAUUUCGGUGUGUAAACUCCUUUUAUCAAGGAAGAAGGAUGACGGUACUUGAUGAAUAAGCACCGGCUAACUCCGUGCCA
This 417-nucleotide ribosomal RNA is filed under the name uncultured bacterium. RNAcentral describes it as "bacterial SSU rRNA". It matches the Rfam family "Bacterial small subunit ribosomal RNA", at positions 76 to 510 of the family's 1533-position model. The record is from RNAcentral.